CAACAGCAUUACAGUUGGUGUUUGAAGGUCGAUACAUGUUGGCGAUCAGUUUAUCCUUUAUCCAUCUUGUGCUUAUGGACUAUGGUACUUCGGAAAUUCAAGAUGAUAUCCCUGGCUAUAGUGCAUAUCUCACUGGUCUCAGCAUCAUCGGUGGAAUGACACUGUGCUCUUCAGCAAUUGAGGGAGCAAUAAUGGGUCCGCUAAUAACUACUGUUGUGAUUGG
This 223-nucleotide unclassified non-coding RNA is filed under the name Hevea brasiliensis (rubber tree). Lineage: Eukaryota; Viridiplantae; Streptophyta; Magnoliopsida; Malpighiales; Euphorbiaceae. The record is from RNAcentral.